GGACCUGUAGCUUAAUUGGAUAGAGCACCGCGUUACGGCCGCGGAGGUUAGGGGUUCGAGUCCCUUCAGGUUCACAA
RNAcentral lists this transfer RNA (77 nucleotides) under Prolixibacteraceae bacterium JC049. Its description in RNAcentral is "tRNA-Arg". It matches the Rfam family "tRNA". Rfam says of the family: Transfer RNA (tRNA) molecules are approximately 80 nucleotides in length. Lineage: Bacteria; Pseudomonadati; Bacteroidota; Bacteroidia; Marinilabiliales; Prolixibacteraceae. The record is from RNAcentral.